UACGUAGGGGGCAAGCGUUGUCCGGAUUUAUUGGGCGUAAAGAGCGCGUAGGCGGCCAUGUAGGUCCGUUGUGAAAACUCGAGGCUCAACCUCGAGACGCCGAUGGAAACCAUGUGGCUAGAGUCCGGAAGAGGAGAGUGGAAUUCCUGGUGUAGCGGUGAAAUGCGCAGAUAUCGGAAGGAACAUCAGUGGCGAAGGCGACUUCCUGGACCAAUACUGACGCUCAGGUGCGAAAGCGUGGGGAGCAAACAGG
Molecule: ribosomal RNA, 253 nt
Filed under: uncultured bacterium
Lineage: Bacteria
Description: partial 16S ribosomal RNA
Rfam family: Bacterial small subunit ribosomal RNA
Source: RNAcentral